AUACGGAGGAUCCGAGCGUUAUCCGGAUUUAUUGGGUUUAAAGGGUGCGCAGGCGGCCAUUUAAGUCAGCGGUUAAAUCGUGGGGCUCAACCCCAUUCUGCCGUUGAUACUGGGUGGCUUGAUUGCGGUCGAGGUUGGCGGAAUUCGUUGUGUAGCGGUGAAAUGCAUAGAUAUGACGAAGAACACCGAUUGCGUAGGCAGCUGACCAGACCGCAAAUGACGCUCAUGCACGAAAGUGCGGGGAUCGAACAGGAUUAGAUCCCCGGGUAGUCCGCACAGUAAACGAUGAAUACUUGUUUUCGGCGAUAUAAUGUCGGAGGCAAAGCGAAAGCGAUAAGUAUUCCACCUGGGGAGUACGCCGGCAACGGUGAAACUCAAAUGAAUUGACGGGG
This 392-nucleotide ribosomal RNA is filed under the name uncultured bacterium. RNAcentral's name for it is "partial 16S ribosomal RNA". It matches the Rfam family "Bacterial small subunit ribosomal RNA", at positions 523 to 918 of the family's 1533-position model. The record is from RNAcentral.